Molecule: ribosomal RNA, 477 nt
Filed under: uncultured bacterium
Lineage: Bacteria
Description: partial 16S ribosomal RNA
Rfam family: Bacterial small subunit ribosomal RNA
Source: RNAcentral
AUUGAACGCUGGCGGCAUGCCUUACACAUGCAAGUCGAACGGUAACAGGUUAAGCUGACGAGUGGCGAACGGGCGAGUAAUGUAUCGGAACGUGCCCAGUCGCGGGGGAUAACUGCUCGAAAGAGCAGCUAAUACCGCAUACGACCUGAGGGUGAAAGCGGGGGAUCGCAAGACCUCGCGCGAUUGGAGCGGCCGAUAUCAGAUUAGGUAGUUGGUGAGGUAAAGGCUCACCAAGGCGACGAUCUGUAGCUGGUCUGAGAGGACGACCAGCCACACUGGGACUGAGACACGGCCCAGACUCCUACGGGAGGCAGCAGUGGGGAAUUUUGGACAAUGGGCGCAAGCCUGAUCCAGCCAUGCCGCGUGCGGGAAGAAGGCCUUCGGGUUGUAAACCGCUUUUGUCAGGGAAGAAAAGGUUCUGGCUAAUACCUGGGACUCAUGACGGUACCUGAAGAAUAAGCACCGGCUAACUACGUG